GAUUUAGGCCUGCUAGUCGCACGAGUUCAGACUCGUGGCGAAUAGCUCAGUAACACGUGGCCAAACUACCCUUCGGAACACAAUACCCUCGGGAAACUGAGGCUAAUAGUGUAUACCAUACCACCACUGGAAUGAGUGGUAUGCCAAACGCUCCGGCGCCGAAGGAUGUGGCUGCGGCCGAUUAGGUAGACGGUGGGGUAACGGCCCACCGUGCCAAUAAUCGGUAUGGGUCAUGAGAGUGAGAACCCAGAGACGGAAUCUGAGACAAGAUUCCGGGCCCUACGGGGCGCAGCAGGCGCGAAACCUUUACACUGCACGACAGUGCGAUAGGGGGAUCCCAAGUGCACAGGCAUAGCGCCUGUGCUUUUCGGUACCCUAAGGCGGUACCAGAAUAAGGGCUGGGCAAGACCGGUGCCAGCCGCCGCGGUAAUACCGGCAGCCCAAGUGAUGGCCGAUCUUAUUGGGCCUAAAGCGUCCGUAGCUGGCCGCGCAAGUCCAUCGGGAAAUCCACCUGCUCAACAGGUGGGCGCCCGGUAGAAACUGCGCGGCUUGGGACCGGAAGGCGCGACGGGUACGUCCGGGGUAGGAGUGAAAUCCCGUAAUCCUGGACGGACCGCCGAUGGCGAAAGCACGUCGCGAGAACGGAUCCGACAGUGAGGGACGAAAGCCAGGGUCUCGAACCGGAUUAGAUACCCGGGUAGUCCUGGCCGUAAACAAUGUCUGCUAGGUGUGGCUCCCACUACGAGUGGGUGCUGUGCCGCAGGGAAGCCGCUAAGCAGACCGCCUGGGAAGUACGUCCGCAAGGAUGAAACUUAAGGAAUUGGCGGGGGAGCACUACAACCGGAGGAGCCUGCGGUUUAAUUGGACUCAACGCCGGACAUCUCAUCAGCAUCGACUGUAGUAAUGACGAUCAGGUUGAUGAUCCUUC
RNAcentral lists this ribosomal RNA (928 nucleotides) under archaeon Fa17. RNAcentral's name for it is "bacterial SSU rRNA". It matches the Rfam family "Archaeal small subunit ribosomal RNA", at positions 42 to 971 of the family's 1478-position model. The record is from RNAcentral.